This is a long non-coding RNA of Oncorhynchus gorbuscha (pink salmon), 375 nucleotides long. RefSeq lists it as uncharacterized. The transcript is spliced from 3 exons. Lineage: Eukaryota; Metazoa; Chordata; Actinopteri; Salmoniformes; Salmonidae. The record is from RefSeq and is a predicted model, not a curated record.
CACGAGUAAGCUACAAUGUAAACUCCACUUCUACAGCCUGAAAAUGGAAGACCCUGGAUAAAAAUGUGUUUUAAGUGCUUAUUUGGCAGCGAAGGACACAAUCAACACGUCAAAUUGUAAGUCCCCUCCUAUUCCCAUGAUUUAAGAGGCGAUGACUACUCCACUCCACUACCAUUGUCAACUUUCUCCUGACAUGAACUGAAGCCACGUCUCAGGUGCCCCCUCAUCGACUGGCACAUUGAAUGUUUCCCCUCCCAGCACUUUUGUCUUCCCAGUCAAAUCCUGUCCUGCACUGGUCAAGCCUAUGAGCACCUCAACUCGUGGCCCAUACCCUCAUUCAAUCACUGCUGUGAUCCAUUUCCAACACGGUGUAAG